Molecule: ribosomal RNA, 508 nt
Filed under: uncultured bacterium
Lineage: Bacteria
Description: partial 16S ribosomal RNA
Rfam family: Bacterial small subunit ribosomal RNA
Source: RNAcentral
GACGAACGCUGGCGGCGUGCCUAAUACAUGCAAGUCGAACGCUUCUUUCCUCCCGAGUGCUUGCACUCAAUUGGAAAGAGGAGUGGCGGACGGGUGAGUAACACGUGGGUAACCUACCCAUCAGAGGGGGAUAACACUUGGAAACAGGUGCUAAUACCGCAUAACAGUUUAUGCCGCAUGGCAUAAGAGUGGAAGGCGCUUUCGGGUGUCGCUGAUGGAUGGACCCGCGGUUCAUUAGCUAGUUGGUGAGGUAACGGCUCACCAAGGCCACGAUGCAUAGCCGACCUGAGAGGGUGAUCGGCCACACUGGGACUGAGACACGGCCCAGACUCCUACGGGAGGCAGCAGUAGGGAAUCUUCGGCAAUGGACGAAAGUCUGACCGAGCAACGCCGCGUGAGUGAAGAAGGUUUUCGGAUCGUAAAACUCUGUUGUUAGAGAAGAACAAGGACGUUAGUAACUGAACGUCCCCUGACGGUAUCUAACCAGAAAGCCACGGCUAACUACGUG